UCUUUCUCUUUGGGUCUCUUGAGCUGCUUAUCUACAAUAUGCUGGUCUAUCCCUGUACGGAAGCACUGGACCACCUGCUUACCUGGCUGCAACAUGAUCACCUACAAAUCCGGAAGCUCAGACUCAAAGGGAUAUCCCUGCUUUUGGACUCUGACAUGGCAAGUGAUGCUUAGAGGGAGGGUGCAAGAAGAAUUUAGAUUCGAAUCACAGCCAAGCACAAGUCUGUGCUAAAAGAAAAACUGUUGGGCCUUUCAGAUCUUUGAAAAGAGUAUUUCUUUCGUGUAGUACCCUGAAGAUGCUGGCUGUAAGCUACUGCAGUCUGGCUGCCCAUCCUGUCAACUGGAGCCUGAGAGGAGGCCUCUGGAAGCAAGAAGACCCACACAAGAAUGUCAUCUGCCGGGAAAGGAGGCUCAGCAAAGACACAGUCUGCAACCUCGAUCCACACCCUUAUGGUGACAUUGGGGAUUAGAGACUUUUUGCUGAGUAUAAAGAGUUGCUACAGCGAGGUGCAAACACAAGCAGGACUUGAAGUAUGAGCAACAGCUUCCUCAACCACGUUCUACAGAAGAACUUAUAUAGUUUAGGGAA
Podarcis raffonei (Aeolian wall lizard) is the source of this 588-nucleotide long non-coding RNA. RefSeq lists it as uncharacterized. The transcript is spliced from 2 exons. The record is from RefSeq and is a predicted model, not a curated record. Lineage: Eukaryota; Metazoa; Chordata; Lepidosauria; Squamata; Lacertidae.